RNAcentral lists this transfer RNA (73 nucleotides) under archaeon. RNAcentral's name for it is "tRNA-Asn". It matches the Rfam family "tRNA". From Rfam's summary of the family: Transfer RNA (tRNA) molecules are approximately 80 nucleotides in length. Their secondary structure includes four short double-helical elements and three loops (D, anti-codon, and T loops). RNAcentral also lists the same sequence under 1 other name. The record is from RNAcentral.
GCCUUGGUAGCUCAGUAGGUAGAGCGCCCGACUGUUAAUCGGAAGGUCGAAAGUUCAAGUCUUUCCCAAGGCG